CCUUUAUACAGACAUAAAUAUAGUGAACAUCAGGUUUUGGGCCAAGAAGACUAACAAUUGAUGUGCUAUCACCAUCUAAAGGCAGUGGCUUCGUCAGUUCCCAUGAAGGCUCCCGACUCCUUUCCCAUCUAUCUGGGAUGUCGAGACUUUACUGUCCAAAGCUGCAGGUCUUUAAGGAGACGCAAUCGAUAACUUGGGUCGCCAUAAGUGAUCUGCAACAUUGUGGGAUCCAAAUGCGUGAUUUACCUAUUGACCUCCUCUAGCAUCUGAGACGCAUUCUCUUGUGAAUUUUGGCCACACUGCAAUACAAACUAUGGUACCUUUGUCAAUAACAGCAUCGAAUGAACCUGACUCGAAUUCAGCCAUGUUCCUUACAUCCAUCUUCAUGUCUGUGUAAGGUGAGGCUUGUCACGAUAUUUCUUCUUCAUUUGAUCAAUCACCACUGAUGAUAUAUCUAUGUUGACGAUGUCUUGAUAACCAUCAUCAACCAUGUUUUCACCAAAAACUUUGCCGCAGCCGGCGAGGAGGAGGCGGUGGUGGCGGCGGACGUAGACGGCGAGCAGCGGCGCGAGGGCGGGGUACUUCUGGUACCAGUCGAACGGGCCGGCCUCCUUCCUGUACCGCUCGUCCCAGUACCACGCCUCCCCGUACGCCUGCGCCGCCGUGCCUCCUCCACCCCCUCCCCCUCCCGUCAUCCUCGGCGCCGCCGCGGAUCUGGCCG
Molecule: small RNA, 721 nt
Filed under: Oryza sativa Japonica Group (Japanese rice)
Lineage: Eukaryota; Viridiplantae; Streptophyta; Magnoliopsida; Poales; Poaceae
Description: sRNA Os08g0517650
Source: RNAcentral